GCCUUCCCGGUGAGUCUGCGGGCUUAAACGGACGCGGUAAAGCGUGCUAAGGUAGCUAAAUUAUGGCCUAUUAAUUGUAGGUCCUGUGAAUGGUUUGACGAGUCUUCAACUGUCUCUAGUUUUUUUGGUGAACUUGAAUUGGAUGUGCAAAUGCUUCCAUGGGUAAGAAAGACGAGAAGACCCCGUGAAGUUAGAAAUUUUGGUUGUUGGUGAGCUUUUGGGGUGUAGGUUAAGUCACUUUAAGUGGUUUAAAGAAAAGUGAACAGCGAUAGUUUUGGCUGGGGCAGCAAAGAAGCAAGGCUAGACUUCUUUAGUUUAAAGACAGGUGUGUGACGACCCACAAGUUUGUUGGUGUGAUUAGCAGAAGAAGUAC
RNAcentral lists this ribosomal RNA (373 nucleotides) under Nodipecten subnodosus. RNAcentral describes it as "partial 16S ribosomal RNA". The record is from RNAcentral. Lineage: Eukaryota; Metazoa; Mollusca; Bivalvia; Pectinida; Pectinidae.